RNAcentral lists this ribosomal RNA (500 nucleotides) under uncultured bacterium. Its description in RNAcentral is "bacterial SSU rRNA". It matches the Rfam family "Bacterial small subunit ribosomal RNA", at positions 25 to 518 of the family's 1533-position model. The record is from RNAcentral.
CAGGAUGAACGCUAGCGGCAGGCUAACACAUGCAAGUCGAGGGGCAGCGGGAUGUAGCAAUACAUUGCCGGCGACCGGCGGAUGGGUGCGUAACGCGUAUGCAACCUACCUUAUACAGGGGAAUAACCUUUCGAAAGGGAGACUAACACCCCAUGGUAUUGAUUUAAGGCAUCUUAGAUUAAUUAAAUAUUUAUAGGUAUAAGAUGGGCAUGCGUAUGAUUAGCUAGUUGGUAAGGUAACGGCUUACCAAGGCGACGAUCAUUAGGGGUUCUGAGAGGAAGGUCCCCCACACUGGUACUGAGACACGGACCAGACUCCUACGGGAGGCAGCAGUGAGGAAUAUUGGUCAAUGGGCGCAAGCCUGAACCAGCCAUGCCGCGUGCAAGGAAGACGGCCUUAUGGGUUGUAAACUGCUUUUACAUAAGACUAACCGUAUAUUUGCGAAUAUACCUGAAUGUAUUAUGAGAAUAAGGAUCGGCUAACUCCGUGCCAGCCGCCGC